UCCAUUGAUGGGGUUGGUAACAAAGGCU
Molecule: non-coding RNA, 28 nt
Filed under: Rattus norvegicus (Norway rat)
Lineage: Eukaryota; Metazoa; Chordata; Mammalia; Rodentia; Muridae
Source: RNAcentral